AUGAUGAAAGAGCCUGAUAGAGAAACACUUGUGUAUGCUCUCCUUGAUACGCAAAGUGACACAACCUUCAUUCUUGAGGAGGCAGCAGAUUCUCUAAAUGCAAAGGGGGAACAGGUCAAGCUAAAGUUAUCUACUAUGGCCUCUACAAACAAAGUUGUAGCUUGUCAAAGGAUCUCUGGGUUGCAAGUUAGAGGAUUCAGCUCAGAGAAGAAAAUAACUCUUCCUACAACCUACACAAGAAAGUUCAUUCCGGCGAACAGAGACCACAUACCCACACCAGAGACAGCAAUGGCAUGGCCCCAUCUUGAGCAGAUUGCAGAUAAGAUUGCUCCUCGUCAAGGGUGUGAUGUUGGUCUACUAAUUGGCUACAACUGUUCUCAGGCACUCCUUCCUAGAGAAGUGGUGUGCGGUGAAGAAAAUCAACCAUUUGCACAGAGAACAGACUUGGGAUGGAGCAUUAUUGGACAUGGCAACCCAUACGUAGACUGUGGAGACGCUAUUGGAGUGAGUCAUCAAGUCAUCAUAAGGCAAGUGACACCGGAUCUUCAGCUUCCAUCGAGUCCCAAACAGGAAGUUCACUAUGUAUGCAGAACACAGAUCAAGGAAGUCAUCUCAUCUGACAUAAUUAAGGCGCUUGAAUGUGACUUUAAUGAGAAAGUUGCUGAGGACAAUCACUUCUCUCAAGAUGACCUCCAGUUUUUGUCGAAAUUGAAACAAGGAAUCAAACACAAGGAAGAUGGUCACAUUGAGAUGCCUCUUCCAUUUAAAAGAGAAAGGCCGAGCUUGCCAGACAAUAGGGUGUGUGCUAUCCAUCGCCUUAAGCACCUAGAAAGGAAAUUAAGGAGAAACAGCGGAUAUUACCGGGACUACAAACACUUCAUGGAAGAGACCAUAGCACGUGGAAAUGCUGAGAAGAUCCCCAAAGCUGAUCUCCACAAUCACCCAGUGUGGUACAUUCCACAUCAUGGUGUUUAUCACCCGCAAAAGCCUGGGAAAAUCCGCGUUGUUUUUGACUGUUCAGCCCGGUUUCAGGGGACAUCUUUAAAUGAUCAUCUGUUGACUGGUCCAGAGCUGACAAAUUCCCUUGUUGGUGUCUUGUGUCGGUUUCGCAAGGAAAAAAUUGCAAUCAUGUGCGACAUAGAACGUAUGUUCCACCAAUUUCACGUGAGGGCAGAAGACCAAGAUUACCUUCGCUUUCUCUGGUGGGAGAAUGGAGAUUUGGAAGCACAGCCAGCAGUCUAUCGCAUGAGAGUCCAUUUGUUUGGAGCUGCCUCAUCUCCAGGCUGUGCUAAUUAUGGUCUCAAACAUCUUGCUGCAGUGGCAAGGGGGAAUUUCAGCGAAGCAUCCGUCCGCUUCGUAGAAAGAAACUUUUAUGUUGAUGACGGUUUGACUAGUGUAUCCACCGAAGCAAAGGGAAUCCAGCUAGUGAAUGAAGCAAGGGAGCUUUGCAACACUGGCAACUUAACGUUGCAUAAGUUCAUUUCCAACAGUAAGCACGUGUUGUCAUCAAUCCCAAAGGAAGAGUGUGCUGGAGGAGCCAACAACUUGGAUAUGGCUCUUCAUGAACCACACAUGGAGAGAGCCCUUGGUGUGCAAUGGUGUGUCACAUCAGAUGAUUUCCAGUUUAGAGUGGUGGUGAAAGAAAAACCCAUGAGCAGAAGAGGGGUAUUGUCCACCGUGGCCUCAGUGUUUGAUCCGCUUGGCUUUGUCGCACCUUUCAUCCUUUUAGGAAAGAAAAUCCUCCAGCAAAUGUGUCAUGAGAGAGUUAGUUGGGAUGAUCCUCUUCCAGAUCAUCUGCUGCCCCAGUGGGAAUCCUGGUUGAGAGGACUGCAAGAUCUAGCAACCAUAAAGGUACAACGAUGCUACCUACCAGGAAGCUUUGGCAAAGUUGUGAAAUACGAGCUGCAUCAUUUUUCGGAUGCCAGUGCCUCAGGUUAUGGAGAGUGCUCAUACCUGAGAGCAAUAAGCGCAUCGGGAGAAGUGCACUGUUCCCUCGUGAUGGGGAAAGCAAGGGUAGCUCCUUUAAAGGUAACAACUAUACCAAGGCUUGAGCUCUCUGCAGCAGUGGUGGCAGUGCGCACAAGUGACAUGCUCCAGAAAGAGCUUGAAAUGGAAGGCCUGCAGGAAUACUUUUGGACUGAUUCAAGGGUUGUCCUUGGCUACAUCAACAAUGAUGCAAGGAGGUUUCAUGUUUUUGUAGCAAACCGUGUCCAACGUAUCAAGCAGAGCACACAUCCUGACCAAUGGAACUACGUUGCUUCAGAAGACAAUCCCGCUGAUCACUCUUCUAGGGGACAGACAGCAGAACAGCUCAAGGCAUCUAACUGGUUUAGAGGUCCAAAUUUUCUGUGGCAGCUAAACCUCCCAAGUAGUGUGUUCACGGUGGGAGAAAUAUCAGAAGAUGACCCAGAGUUACGAAAGACUCAUGUUCACAAAAUUCACUCAAGGGAAGAGAGGUCACUGCUAGAUCGUCUGGCAAGGUUUUCAGAUUGGACAAGAGCAGUACAAGCUGUAGCCAUACUGAAACGCAGAGCAAGGGCAGCUAAAGGCCACAAACCAAGGUUUAGUGAACCCACCACUUUGGAGGAGCGUAAGGAGGCAGAGGUUUUUCUCAUCAAACUGGUUCAAGCAACACACCUUGCUGAAACCAUGAAGAGUCUCAAGCUUAAUGGGCAAAUCAAGGCAAUUGAGAAGGCAAAUAAAUUGCACAAAUUAAACCCAUUCCUUGAUGAGCACGGUGUACUCAGGGUUGGUGGGCGCUUAACAAUGUCCAGUCUUCACCCCCAUGUGAAACACCCAGCUAUCCUUCCUAAAGAAAGCCAUUUGUCAGCACUGCUCAUCAAGCAUCAUCAUGAAAAGGUGCAGCACCAAGGUCGAGGUAUGACUGUUAACGAGCUGCGAGCCAAUGGUGUUUGGAUUCUUGGAUGCAGUAAGGCAGUCUCCUCUCAUAUUUACAACUGCACAAAAUGCAGGAAGUUUAGACGGAACACUGAAGGACAAAGGAUGGCAAACCUCCCACAAGAACGCACGGAGUUGACGCCACCCUUCACAUAUUGUGGGAUGGACUGCUUUGGGCCUAUCUAUGUCAAGGAUGGCAGAAAGGAGCUUAAGCGUUAUGGGCUUUUACUCACAUGCAUGUGCUCAAGAGCCAUACAUAUUGAGAUGCUUGAUGACUUAACAACUGAUGCAUUCAUCAAUGCCUUGCGUUCGUUUAUUGCAUUGCGUGGAAGUGUCAGGCAAAUUCGAUGUGAUCAAGGCAGCAACUUCAUUGGUGCAAGGCACGAGUUCGCUGAAGCCAUGAAAGAGAUGGAUGGAGAGAACCUCAAGAAAAUUGGAUGUGAGUUUGUUAUGAACACACCCUCUGCAAGUCAUCAAGGUGGGGUUUGGGAACGCCAAAUACGCACUGUGCGUAAUGUUUUGGCAUCCGUUCUCGACCAAUCAGCUAAAAGGCUUGACAGCAGUUCGUUAAGAACCUUCCUCUACGAAGUUAUGGCAAUUGUGAAUAGCAGGCCAUUAACAACAGAGCAUUUGCAUAAUCCAUCUGGUCCAGAACCCCUGACACCUAACCACAUCCUGACAAUGAAGUCAAGCAUUAUUCCCCCACCUCCUGGAAAGUUUAUCAAGGAAGAUCUGUACCUGCAAAAGCGAUGGCGCAGAGUACAGUUCUUAGCCAACAGCUUCUGGGAACGGUGGAAAAGGGAAUAUCUGUUGAAUCUUCAGAGCAGACAAAAAUGGAACAGAGCAAGACGAAAUGCGAAAGUCAAUGAUAUUGUGCUUCUCAAGGAUGAUUCUGCUCCACGUAGUCAAUGGAAGAUGGGAAGGAUCAUAGAUGUCUAUCUGGGACAGGAUGGAAAGGUGAGAAGUGUGAAGUUGUUGAUCAGUGACUCAACUCUAGAUGCUAGAGGAAAGCGCACCACAAAACCAACCUACCUGGAGAGACCUAUUCAAAAGACUGUAACUCUACUGGAGGCUAACUGA
Oreochromis niloticus (Nile tilapia) is the source of this 3978-nucleotide long non-coding RNA. The record is from Ensembl. NCBI's taxonomy places the organism in Eukaryota, Metazoa, Chordata, Actinopteri, Cichliformes, Cichlidae.